GUGCUCACUUUAGCAGCACAUAUACUAAAACAGGGAUGAUGCAGAAAUUAACAUGACCACUGCUCAGGGAUGACAUGAAAUUUUGAGAAGGGUUUUGCAGUUUG
Erinaceus europaeus (western European hedgehog) is the source of this 104-nucleotide small nuclear RNA. The record is from Ensembl. NCBI's taxonomy places the organism in Eukaryota, Metazoa, Chordata, Mammalia, Eulipotyphla, Erinaceidae.